GCAUCCCAUGCCGUUAGGGACGAGAUCGGGCCCGCAGCGCCCGAUUGGGCGGUAGCCGUCCGCUCAUAACGCCGGUUCAACCCGGGCCAGGUGCG
RNAcentral lists this transfer RNA (95 nucleotides) under Actinomycetes bacterium. Its description in RNAcentral is "tRNA-Cys". Lineage: Bacteria; Bacillati; Actinomycetota; Actinomycetes. The record is from RNAcentral.